This 285-nucleotide unclassified non-coding RNA is filed under the name Hevea brasiliensis (rubber tree). Lineage: Eukaryota; Viridiplantae; Streptophyta; Magnoliopsida; Malpighiales; Euphorbiaceae. The record is from RNAcentral.
GAGCAGUGGAAAUGGUCCGAAAUGCAAGGUCUUGAACUCGUGUCUCCUGCUCCUCCUUCUUCUGACCCCUUUAAAACCAACUCUGCUCCUUCCACUCCUCCAACUCCAACUCUAACAAUUAACUCAAAACAAUACCAUUACCAACAACAAGAAGAGGACAACCAUCAAAAUCAUCAAGAAACUGUACUUGAGAGAAGAGUAAUGGAUAACACCACCCCAAAGAAUGCUAGUAGUGGCAAUGGAGAGAAGCCAGAAGAUGUUGCCACUGUCGGGUUUAGAGAGCUG